Molecule: ribosomal RNA, 429 nt
Filed under: uncultured Alphaproteobacteria bacterium
Lineage: Bacteria; Pseudomonadati; Pseudomonadota; Alphaproteobacteria
Description: bacterial SSU rRNA
Rfam family: Bacterial small subunit ribosomal RNA
Source: RNAcentral
AACGCGAAGAACCUUACCAGCCUUUGACAUCCCGGUCGCGAGCACCAGAGAUGGAGCUCUUCAGUUCGGCUGGACCGGAGACAGGUGCUGCAUGGCUGUCGUCAGCUCGUGUCGUGAGAUGUUGGGUUAAGUCCCGCAACGAGCGCAACCCUCGCCCUUAGUUGCCAUCAUUUAGUUGGGCACUCUAAGGGGACUGCCGGUGAUAAGCCGGAGGAAGGUGGGGAUGACGUCAAGUCCUCAUGGCCCUUACAGGCUGGGCUACACACGUGCUACAAUGGCGGUGACAGAGGGACGCAAAGGAGUAAUUCUUCGCAAAUCUCAAAAAGCCGUCUCAGUUCGGAUUGUGCUCUGCAACUCGAGCACAUGAAGUUGGAAUCGCUAGUAAUCGCAGAUCAGCACGCUGCGGUGAAUACGUUCCCGGGCCUUGUA